AAGUUCAAAAGUAGGUAAUGUAAAUGAUAGGUUGGGGGCAAAACAAUAUUUCUCUAGCUUGAAAGGAAAGUUAAAAAUCUGAGUUUGUGGCUGAGUAACUGUAAAAGCCAGGCAGAGUUGUUUUCUAUCAGAUCUUUAAUCUGUGUUUCAGAGAUUGAAUGAGAAAACAAAUUCUCAAAAGCCUGGCUGCCACUGUAUUGGAGGAAAAUUCACAUUGGGUGAGAAAGAAGAAAGAGAUCAACAGUGGGACACAUCAAAUAGCAUUCAAAGAGGUUAUUUUGGCAGAACAGCAGAUUAAGGAUAUUGUAAACCAUCAGUUUGCAAGAUCACAUCUUCUCUGCCCAGUUUGGAGUAUCCUGCCCUCACUCUGACCACCACUGAAAAGUCAAGUGAAGCCUUUGGACCAGAAGAAGCUUAUCUGAGGAGAUGGCACCCUGCUUUCAUCUUUCAGUGUGCCAAAAGCACAGCUAUAAUUGUCAGUCCAUGAGCCACAUUGCUCCAUCCCUUAAUGGUUCAUGCUGGUGCCUGCAUCAGCUUCAGCCAAUCUCCCAAAAUAUAAAGCAUUCCUUCAAACUCUCA
Molecule: long non-coding RNA, 579 nt
Organism: Candoia aspera
Lineage: Eukaryota; Metazoa; Chordata; Lepidosauria; Squamata; Candoiidae
Exons: 3
Source: RefSeq, a predicted model, not a curated record